GUCAAUCAGACUUGUUAUUGUAAAACAUGUCACAAGUUAACAUGCGGAAGCGGAUGGAGCGGAUCCACGGAACGGAUAUGGGGAUAAAAUAUAGAACGGAUGGGGAUAAAAUGCGUUCUUUUAAUGAUACAACGUCGUAGUGCUUAUUAUUCAUAACAUAUCUUAUACAGCUAUUUGGGUGAUAGGAAUAAUCAUAUUAAAUAAGUUCAGCGUAUCAGUAGCCUCGUUAGGAUGCUUUUAGCGACAACUGCAAAUGCAAAUGAAGUUUUAGAAUAUGCAAAAUUUGGGUGUUGGUGAAACAAUUUAAACUUCAAGUUAUCGCGUGUCGCAUCACAAUAAAUAAAGAAAUUGUAUCAGUUCCACGAGGCACAUUUCUGAUCUGUUAGGCUUGUUUCAAACGUGGCGCUACUCAUGUGCCGAACGCAUUAUAAAAUAGAUGAGAUGCCUUUGGUAAGUGUUUAUUUCGUAGUGUAAGCCAUCAGCCUUUCUAGGUUGUCGGCAACCCUAUAUAGUUCUUGCAGUGUCUUUUUCAAUUUGAAACUUCACACUAUCCUUGGAUCCCUAGUUAUUGUAUUGUUCUUGUUGGGGGUCGGUUGUCAAUUGGGAAUUGUUUCCUGUUACCUUCUCCUGUCACUGUUUCUGUAAAUAUGUAAUUGUCCUUCGUUGUAAUUGUGACAAAUUCAUUAAAUUAUAUUAUAGGUAAAUUCUAAGUUUUGAAGGAUUUGUAAGAAAAGUUUGACUCGAUGUUUAACACCAAGUCAGUUUCCUCAAAUAUUUCUUACAAAUCCUUCAAUACAUUAGAAUUAGACCGAUGCAAAUGUCGUGGGAUGGUCAACUCUUUCUUUUGCCAAUCUUGAUUUUAUUAUGAUCAAUCCUCCAAAAUAUAUAACAGAAGUAUGAUAUUUCAUCACAUUUUCUCCUACGGAACUACUUAUCAUUUAUAGACCCGGAGCGAGGGGGAUUCUGCGAAAUAGUAUCCGAGUGAUGAUAUUUCCCGAGGGGAAUAUCAUCACUGAGGGUAAUAUUUCGACGAAUACGGUCCGCCGAGCGGUCUAUAGAUACCGAAAGUUAAAUAACCCACUAAGUUGAGAAUAAACUUGCUGAAUAAUUAAACGAAUACAAUGUUUAAUUUAUUAUUUAUACCUGAGUUUUUGACGUUUUCUCUUUAAAAUAUUUGAGCCUGUAUCCUAACAACUCACGAACGUCAUAUUGUUUCAGCGCGUGGUGUCCACGCGUCACGCGUGAGAUACUAGAGAGGUUAAGAUAUACUCCGGUUUCGGUCUACGUGUACGGGUAGCAUGAUUUCGGUUUGCAAUAUUUUCGUCGAUGUCUGUACCUUUACUCGUAAUUAAGGUGCACAUUUUUCGCAUUAUAUCAUUGUCUAUUGCAAGAAAACAGAAAAAGUAUGAUUGAAUUACAGACAACAGUAAAACAAGAUGACACUACUCGUACCCGUACACCGAAACCGAGGUAUCUUAACCUCUCUACUAUAAUAUCCCACGGUAGAUCCACCGUGGGAUAUUAGAGAGGUUAAGAUACCCCGAUUUCGGUGUACGUGUACGGGUAGCAUGAUUUUGGUUAGCAAUAUUUUCGUCGAUGUCUGUACCUUUACUCGUAAUUAAGGUGCACAUUUUUCCCAUUAUGUCAUUGUCAAUUGCAAGAAAACAGAAAAAGUAUGAUCGAAUUACAGACAUCAGUAAAACAAGAUGACACUACUCGUACCCGUACACCGAAACCGGGGUAUCUUAACCUCUCUAUUAUAGUAUCUCACGCUGCGUUGUGAAAUCAUGAAUUUGAGUGAAAUAUCGUAAAAAAUCACAUCACGCGGUACAAAUGCUGUUUUUUGAUUGGACAAUUUGAAUUUGAGGUAUAAUAUUUUUAUAUAUUUCCUCUCAAUUUUGGAAAUAAGCAUUGUGAAAUAUACGCGGAAUUGUAUUCAUUACGAGAAAUGCAAACUGUACUUUAUUACCUUAUGAGCGCUGUCGGACGUACAAUUCAACAUCAAAGACCGUAAUAGUUCCUUAUUGGACGACAUCUCAACAAUACCACAUUAGUCAACUGUCACAACUUGUAACGACCACAACUAGUUUUCCCCCGACAAGAUUUGAGUAUAAAAAGAGGUAACUGGAUCUAGUUCAUUUUCAGAUUGUCCAGAAGUGGUGAAUAAAGCGAAGGUUGGAUACCUUCAGUCGCAGAUUUCUUCAGUUCUUCAAGAGUACGUACGAAGUGAAUAUCGUGCUCAACCCAAUAGACUUGCUAAAGUUCUGCUGUGUUUACCCACGCUCAAAACAUACAGCGCUAAAGCCACAGAAAACUACACAGCGUUUGAGAUGUUUGGAAAGAUAGAUAUGCCACCACUUGUUCGAGAACUGUUUGAAGAAUAGGACAAGAUUGAUGUAUAUCAUCAAGGUCGUUAUGGUUUAGACGUGCAUGGUGUAUUUUUGCAAAUAUUGAUAUGCUACCGCUUGUCAGAAAACUGUUUGAAAAAUAGUUCAAGACUACUUCGCAAGAGGUAACUGUGUCAUGUCAAGAUAUUUCAUAUGGUUUAAAUCCAUCAGAAAUAAUUGAUAUGUCUCUGCUAUUUAAAGAACAGCACAAGAUAGUUUCAUGGGCAAAGAUUUUUUUCAUAUACAAAGAUUGUGAGGCUUGUGUCCUAGCCAUGCCCAACAUGUGGAGGAAAUCAACUUGGUGCAUUUUUCCUACGUUCAGGCUUGUUUGCUCCCCAACAAAAUUAGCAGCGAUGACGAAUGAACCUGAACGACUUUAGACAAACCGAAUUUCAGAUUAGAAAUGGUUCAACGAAAAACGAUGCACUCAGGAUAAAAUUCAUGCUGUUUUAUUACAAAGAACUAUUAUAGAUUAUAGUUAUAGGACUUGCUGAAUAGUUGUUUUAUAGUUGCUAUUAAAGUCUAUCUCGCAACCGACUUUUGCUUGCUCCGUUAAACCUGUUUCCACUAUAGGCGAAUUUCUUCGCAUGAAGCAAUUUUUCCUUUGUCCGCAUCGCUUUUACUGACGUGAUAAAAAGUUGCUUCGUAACCUUAGGGCUAUACUAACCUUGAAUCUACACUAAAAUGAAUGCACAUACAAAUCUCAUCAGCUUAUUGUAGAAUACUACCUACACUGGAACACCAUGUCUGAGAUAUCUUUCUGGUAGUUGAGACACAAACCACUGCUACAUGCAGAAUACUACCUACACUGGAACACCAUGUCUGAGAUAUCUUUCUGGUAGUUGAGACACAAACCAUGCACUGCUACUUGCAGAAUACUACCUGCACUAGACCACGACUGGCACUUGGUAUCAGGUUAACCUCGUUCCCAGGCUCUUUCCUCGAAGAGUGAAUGAUUUUCUUUUUGAACUGAAUUUUCAUUACCAUUUAAUUACCAAUAAUUUUACCAAUAAUGAAUAAAGAUUUCUAUUAAGAAACUUUUAUUAAAACCUUUAUUAAAAAGUUUAAACACUUAAAAAUUAAACUAAAAAUUUAAAAGAAACUACUAGACGUUUCGGUCAAAAAUCAAAGAGCUUCGGUUUUGUGUUUCACAGAAAUCUUUCUGUCUAAUCCUAAUUAUUGGGUAAAUAGCAAAGUUGCAACCACCAAUAAUUUGAUUCUAAUUGCCAAUCAAUUUGAUUCUCUAAUUGCUCGAUUCGGUGAGCACUUCUGAUACAUGUAGGAGCGAGACAAAAAUGGUUGCGAGGGAGACUGUUGAUACAGAAGAACAUUUUAAAUAAAAUAUCAAAGAAUUUUGGAGGUCUGACUGGGGCAAAGACCAGACAAGUGCUAUUGCACUGGCUGUCUCUCAGAAAACAAUUUGCCUCGGUUUUGAGUGCCGAAAAUUCUUUGAUCACGUGAGAUAGUGAUUUUAAUAUGUUGGAGUAGAAAUUAUUUGAUUGUAAUGUCGAUGUAUUAUGGCAUUUAAAAAACAAUUGUUCAUUUCAGGUUUACUAGCUGUUAGAAUAGUUCUAUCAGUUCUUCCAGUUAGAGUCAUCCUUGACGCAGCAUUAAAAAUUCGUAUCGUCUCCGCGCCCAUAAACUGACCUACCUAUUUUUUGCAUAUUCACAAUUCUAAUUUUAAACAGCCAAUCCGGUUUCAAGAACAAGGAAGAAUUACUAUAAAAAUUUGCGGUUUAAUUUAAGACAAGAUGCCAACCUGAUAUUCAGACUCUUUACCUCCGCUACCUCCCACGCCGAAACCCGCUGGCGGAGGUGAAGACCCUCAAGCUCAGGAUUCCACUCCGGC
This is a non-coding RNA of Paramuricea clavata, 4236 nucleotides long. The record is from the annotation of a GenBank genome assembly. Lineage: Eukaryota; Metazoa; Cnidaria; Anthozoa; Malacalcyonacea; Plexauridae.